AAGCAUGCUAUCCUAAGGACAGGAGCUUGUUUGUAGCUUCGUGUUCUCCAAGUGCAUGCCAGAAAACAGGGCGGUCUUUGACUGUUGUGGCCCCUUUUGCCAACACCAGCCACUCAACUGUCCUACAGAU
Small nucleolar RNA from Plectropomus leopardus (leopard coralgrouper), 130 nucleotides. RefSeq annotates it as small nucleolar RNA SNORA44. The record is from RefSeq and is a predicted model, not a curated record. Lineage: Eukaryota; Metazoa; Chordata; Actinopteri; Perciformes; Serranidae.